CACGGGAGAGACUCCAGCUGCAGGGGACUGGCCCAGCUACCGAGAUGACCACUGAAGGGGAAGUCCCAUAAAGCCAAAUUUUACUUCGCUAGGAGCCUGAGGAAGGCAGCCAGCAUCAAGGCCAAAUGGUUCCAACUGGUGGACAAGGCGUGGAGAUCAGAGCUCUAGUUAGUGGCCAUGUGCAAAGUCCAACUGGUGGCAGCUUUGUCGAUGUGAGUGGUCUGUGUAAUUUGGAGAAGUCUGCCCUAGCCAAAGCCAGCGGAGUGGCCCAUUCCUCUCCCAUAGAAUUCUGCCAUCUCCUGACCAUUGGCUCCCAACCACUGAACGUUUGUGCCCCCCACCCCCAAAUCCAUAUGUUGAAACACUAAUCUUCAAUGUGAUGGCAUUUGGAGAUGAGGCCUUCGGGAGGUAAUCAGAUCAUAAAGGUAAAGGUGGACAUCAGGAAGUUGUCUUUCUCCAUUCCUCAACUCUACUUCUCUCACACGCAUUGGCUGAGUCAGAGGCGGCUGCCGAGCGGCUGAGAAAUCAGGGCUGUGAAGAUGAGAAACCAAGCUGAGAUUCCAGCGGUCUCACAUGCUGAGGGAACAAACAUUGAUGCAAGAUAAUGAACUUCUUAGGUGAUCAAAGAGUACAGCUCUGCAAGUGGAUGUUGACAUUUAAGGAAAUUGGAAAAAAUUUUGGCAUGCAAAUUAAUCAAACGAAGCCGGAAACUAGUGAUUUUCCCUAGUGUGUAUACCUAAGAGUGGAACUGUGCCUGUUCAACUUCACACACAGUGGAAAACUCUCUCCUAAAAUGUUUGCAACAAUUUUCACUUCUCGAGCAGUGGAUGAAGAUUCUCAUUGCUCCACAUUCUUGCCAACACAUAGUGAUGUAAAACAAUGUGUUAUCGAGACAUCUGUGUGUGUUUCUGGGUUUGCUAAUGAGUUUGAGCGUCUUUUCAUGUAUUCAAAGGUUAUUGAUGUAUUUCUUCUUUGAAAUGUCUGUUUGUGCGUUUUGUUCACUUUUAAUUGGUUCCUUCCUUUUUUCUUAUUGAGCGAUUGAUAGGAUAAUAACCCUUUGUUGGUUAUAUACAUUGUGAGAAUUUUCUCGGUUCUUAGUUUGUGUUUUGUGGUCUUUAUGGUGUCUUUUGAUGAUCAGAAGUUGGUCAUUUUAAUCGAAUAAUAGAUUUUAUCAAUCUUUUGUUUCAUGAUUUGCAUUUUCUGUUUUUUGCUUAAUAGACUCCUCCCUGCCUGAGGUCAUAAUAUGUCCUACAAUAAUUACAGAGGUUUCCAUUCCAUUUGAAUCUUUAUUAUAUCUGAAACUGAUUCUUUGAAUGAUGUAGAGAAGUAAUUUGUCAUUUAUUCCCCGAGUGGAUCAAUGAUGACCCAAAACCAUUUAUUUCCAUUGAUCUGCACUGACAAGUAUGUCAUAAAUUAAAUUAAAUCUUCCUAUAUAGAUAUGAUCACUUAUGAACCUUUUAGUCUGUCCCAUUUGUCUAGA
This 1480-nucleotide long non-coding RNA is filed under the name Equus asinus (donkey). Its description in RNAcentral is "lncRNA (ENSEASG00005028518.1)". Lineage: Eukaryota; Metazoa; Chordata; Mammalia; Perissodactyla; Equidae. The record is from RNAcentral.